RNAcentral lists this long non-coding RNA (379 nucleotides) under Mytilus galloprovincialis (Mediterranean mussel). The record is from RNAcentral. Lineage: Eukaryota; Metazoa; Mollusca; Bivalvia; Mytilida; Mytilidae.
CUUUGUUGUAAUGGUGUCGAACGAUAUAUAUCACUUCCUUGUAAGAAUAUGUCCUGUAAAUCUUCGUAUAUAUCUGUAUAAAGUGAUUUAUUUUAUGGUAUGUGCCUCAAAGUCAAGUAAAAAAAUAUAUAUUUAUUGUAUUGAUAGUAUUUUCCCGAUUCACUAUUGCAGAAGUCUGAAUAGUGAAAUCGACGGACAAGCGGGAUGGCAUCAGGGGUCCAGGCAGUUUGCUUGAAACAUAACAAACAGUGGAGGAAUAGGUUCCAAGAGUUUUUAAACAAAACCAGUGGACCAACCAGAAGAAAUCCAUUAAUUUGUCAAAGUGAUGUUAAAAGAAUUACAAAAGCAGUGUGCACAUGCACAGAGGCUGUCAACAAAG